RNAcentral lists this microRNA precursor (105 nucleotides) under Canis lupus familiaris (dog). Its description in RNAcentral is "mir-8834 microRNA precursor family". It matches the Rfam family "mir-8834 microRNA precursor family". Lineage: Eukaryota; Metazoa; Chordata; Mammalia; Carnivora; Canidae. The record is from Rfam by way of RNAcentral.
AGGAGGAACAACCCCAGUGGCGGGGCCAGCUCUGGAGCCCUGGAUUCAGUUCCCGCAGUGACUAUGGAGCUCUGGGUCUGCAGGGUCUGGGGGCUCCGGGGCGGG